AUUGAACGCUGGCGGCAGGCCUAACACAUGCAAGUCGAGCGGAUGAAGGGAGCUUGCUCCUGGAUUCAGCGGCGGACGGGUGAGUAAUGCCUAGGAAUCUGCCUGGUAGUGGAGGAUAACGUCCGGAAACGGGCGCUAAUACCGCAUACGUCCUGAGGGAGAAAGUGGGGGAUCUUCGGACCUCACGCUAUCAGAUGAGCCUAGGUCGGAUUAGCUAGUUGGUGGGGUAAAGGCCUACCAAGGCGACGAUCCGUAACUGGUCUGAGAGGAUGAUCAGUCACACUGGAACUGAGACACGGUCCAGACUCCUACGGGGGGCAGCAGUGGGGAAUAUUGGACAAUGGGCGAAAGCCUGAUCCAGCCAUGCCGCGUGUGUGAAGAAGGUCUUCGGAUUGUAAAGCACUUUAAGUUGGGAGGAAGGGCAGUAAGUUAAUACCUUGCUGUUUUGACGUUACCAACAGAAUAAGCACCGGCUAACUUCGUG
This 484-nucleotide ribosomal RNA is filed under the name uncultured bacterium. RNAcentral describes it as "partial 16S ribosomal RNA". It matches the Rfam family "Bacterial small subunit ribosomal RNA", at positions 30 to 507 of the family's 1533-position model. The record is from RNAcentral.